This 5707-nucleotide long non-coding RNA is filed under the name Equus asinus (donkey). Its description in RNAcentral is "lncRNA (ENSEASG00005037696.1)". The record is from RNAcentral. Lineage: Eukaryota; Metazoa; Chordata; Mammalia; Perissodactyla; Equidae.
CAAAAACUGCAAAGAGCCCAUUGUCCAUGAGUUGUUCACCUAACAAGUGAAAGGUUAAACAAACUGGCAUAUUCACAAUGGAAUACUAGUCAGCAAUGAAAAGGAACAAAGAGCUGAAACACAUCAAUGAAUCUCAAAACGUGCUGAAUGAAAGAAAUUUACACAAGAGUACAUACUGUAUGAUUCCAUUUAUAUAAAGUUCUAGAAUAGGCCAAACUAAUCUGGUGAAAACAAAAUUCUAACAGGGAAAAGGGAUGGGAGAGCUGCAAGAAUUGACUGGUUAAAAAAAAUUUCUGAUGGACGUGAUGGAAAUGUUCCAUAGCUUGUUAGGGGUUUGGGUUACAUAGCUGCACGUCAAAACUUAUCAAAUGGUACACUUAACGUUUGUUCACUCUAAGUUCUACCUCAAGAAAAAAACUCCAACAAUAUGUAUGCCAAAAGGCUUAAGAGUCAAGUAUAGAUGUUCUACAACUUUGACACCCAUAAAGAGAGAGACUGAUGGAUGCAUAGAUCCAUGAUAAAGAAAAUAUGGCAAAAUGUUACUUGUAGAAUCUAGGUGGUAGGUAUAGAUAGGCAUGUUUAUAGUUCAACUUUUCUGUAUGCUUGAAGUUUCUUAUUAAAAAAUUCUGCAGGGCAGGGCCAGCCCAGUAGCAUAGUGGUUAAGUUCACAUGCUCACUUUAGCAGCCUGGGAUUCACAGGUUCAGAUCUCAGGUAUGGACCUACACAGGGCUCAUGAGGCCAUGCUGUGGCAGCGUCCCACAUACAAAAUAGAGGAAGACUGGCACAGAGCCUAGCUCAAUGACAGUCUUCCUCAAGCAAAGAGGAACACUGGCAGCAGAUAUUAGCUUAGAGCCAAUCUUCCUCACCAAAAAAAAAAAAAAAAAAAAGGUUGCAGGGCAAAAAGAGGCAUAGUAACCAAUUGCAAAGUGUUGAUGUUGUUUAGAUCCUGAUUCAUAUAAACUUUUUUUAAAUGACUUUUCAGACAGAUCUUUGGUGCUAAGAAAUUAGUAUUUUUAGGAGUGAUGGUAUUUUUUUAAAUACCUUUUUAACAAAAGAUGUAUACUGAAAUCUAUACAGAUAAAAUGAUGCUAUGUCUUGGAUUUGCUUUAAAAUUAAUAUGAGGGUUAAGUAGAUACGGAUUAUAAGAAAAAAAGAAAACUGGGGAGAGGACAUGAAGACAAUUCACUGAAAAGAAAAUCCAAAAGCUCUUAAAUGUGAAGAAGUGCUACCUCAUAAAGGAAUACCAUUGUGAUGGCGUUUUCUUAACCUAUAAGAUUGGCAAAGAAUAGAAUGCUAAUAUACCGUGUUAGUGAGGCUAUGGGGAAAUGGGCACUUGUACUACCGGAGCAAAUAAGAAAAAGCCAUUUACAUAUAUAAAUUUAAUUUUAGAUAUAAAUUAUAAGUGCACAUACUCUGACCAUUUACCCUACAUAAAAAUUUCUGUAUGUACAAAAUGGCAUAAAAUUAUACAAGGUAAUUCAUUUCAGCAUUAUAAUAGGGAAAGAAUGGAAACAAUUUACAUGUUCAUCAGUAAGGGACAGGAUGAAUGAAUUAUGUAUAUUCAUAUACUCUACAAUCAUUCCAAAAAAUGAAAAAGGGUUUUAUAUACUGAUAUAAAAUGAUCUUUAGGAUGCAAUAAGUGGGGAAAAAGGUACAGAAGAGUAUGUAUGGUAUGCUGUAAUUUAUAUUUUGAAAAGAAAUGAAAAUGUCUAUUAAUAUUUGCUUAUCUAUACAGUAAAUAUCACUAGAAAUUUCCAUUAGAAACUGAUGACAGGGUUGCCUGAGAAGCGGAACUAGUGGCUAAAAUACAGGAUGGGAGGGAGACUGUUUACUGUAUACCCCUGCAUCUCUCUUGAAUUUUAUUUCCUUCAAAAAAUAAAAUAUAAACCAUUUUUAAAAUACCCUACUAUUUAUUUUCCUAUCAUCAAGGCUUAAGAACCAAACUAAACUGUCCUAUAUCCCCUUCCUAAAACCCAAUAAGAAAACCACCCAACUAAAAAACUGGGCAAAAGAGCUGAACACAUACCUCACCAAGACAAUAUGCAGGUGCAAAUAAACAUAUAAAAAGAUGCUCAACCUCUUAUGUCACUAUGGGAUUGCAAAGUAAAAUGAGAUACCACCACGCACCUAUGAGAACAGCUAAAAUUCACAAUGCUGACACACCAAACGCUGCCAAGGAUGAGUUGCUAUCGGAGUUCUCAUUCACUGUUGGAGGGAAUGAAAACUGGUGCAGCCACCUUGGAAGACAGUUUGGCGGCUUCUAACAAAACUAAACAUAGUCUUACCAUAUGAUCCAGCAAUCGUGUUACUUGGUAUUUACCCAAAUGAGUUGAAAUCUUAUGUACACACAAAAGCCUACAUAUGGAUGUUUAUAGCAGCUUUAUUCCCUUCCUACAAACUUCAGAGAUUAUUCUCUAAUCUGCCAAAUUCAGGGGGGGAAAUGUAUUCCUAUUACAUUAGAGCAAUUUUUUUGCAAAGCCCCUGAACUUUAGGCCUGCCUCUACUUUACUGCUGAGAUAUACGAUUCUACUCUAUAAUACAGGUCCCACCAAUUGAACGUGAACACUUCCACAUAAUUUAGGGGAAACUCUCAAAACAAUGCAAUGUUUUAAAUUAUAAAAUGAAAAGGAUGUAACGCAGAGGAAAAAUCUCCAAAGGAUGCCCAUAGGACAUAUUAACUAAUAGGCAGGGUCAUUGCCUCAAAAUGUCCUGUGGAUGGAAGUGGCUUUCUCCUGCUUCUUCCUCCACACACUGCACACGUAGUGAGAAGAAUGUAAAGCCUUCCACUCCACAGCGGACUCAGUCUCCUUUCCUGCCCAGCAGAAGCCUCAUGCACCCAGGCAGAGGGGGAAACACUCUGGUUCUGCUUCCUUCUCUGAUAUCAGAGUACAGCAGAUGAGAUCACAAUCCUUAGCCAUUUCCCCCUUGGUAUCUACAUGCUACUUAUCAGAGUUCUUCCUUGCAGUUCCUUGAGAAGUAGCUAGCCAAAGCAGGAUAUGGGUAACCUGGCCAUAUCCAAUCCCACUAUUUCUGAUAGCUUUACCACAAAGCACACAGAGAAGAAUGAAAUUCUGUCAUUACUUCUUUCAAUAGCAAAUAAUGAUACACAACCCAGUUUUGUCAAAUUUUGGGAGAAACAUGUCUUUUGAUUGGAUAGUGAUAAAAGAUUACUUUCAUUCUAUUAUGUGCUUUUCUUCCCCUUCCAGUAACUACAUUUGCCUUGUGAGCAAUCAUUCACUCACUAGCCUAAAUUACGAGCAAUAAUCUACUAAAGGGAGUACAGGAAAGUGUAUGAAUUCUGAAGAUGACUUUCCAAGAAUGGCCACCUUUGGUACUGAGAAUUCAGUCACUAGUGACAAGAAGAUACACCCCGAGCCAGCCUUGACAGCCUAGUGGUUAAAGUUUAGCACUCUCACCGCUUCAGUGGCCUGGGUUGGGUUCCUGGUUGCAGAACCACACAGAUCAUCUGUCACUAGCCAUGGUGUGGCAGCAGCUCACACAGAAGGACUUACAACUAGAAUAUACAACUACAUACUGGGACUUUGCGGAGGGGAAAAACAAAAGGCAACCCCUUCAAGCUUAUCUACCACAUAACAUUUUAAUGCUUUUGCUUUCAUUCUUUUCCCAGAGAUGUGCAAAUGAAACUCAUUAGCUUUAAAAUAAAGUAAUUGAAAAUAAAUUAAUUCCUCACCAACCCCAAUCCCAAUAGACUCUACAGAUUUUUUGCACAGCAAAUUAGAUAACUACUGCUAGAGAGAAAUAAUCACACUUCUAAUAGAUCAUACAGCUACAGACACUAGUUCUCAUAGCUUGGGACACUCAACCAUAUGUGAAAACACAUUUCCAUCAAAGUAGAAAUACUGAAGAUGUCAAGCUGGUUGACUAAGUCAUGUUCUUAUAGGAUGAUAAAAACCAACACAACUGAAAAUUAACCAUUUCUUUUUACAAUUAUAUACCAGGACUUGAUGUAAUAAAAAUAUAUUUGGUUGAUUCACACACUCCAAAAUAAAUACUCUUAGGUAACCUUCAGCCUGAAACAAGCCUUCAUUUAUUGACUACUUACAGUACAGUGAUUUUGUAUCUGAGCUGGUAAUCAAAGAUGGUUAUGUAUUAAGUGAGAGAAGACAUCAUCUCUCUUCCAGAUAUCACCUCUCAGAAAUCUGGGCUAAUUCAAUUUUAAGAACCAGAACUGCAUCUCCUGGUAACUACGUGGCAGUCAUCACCUGAGAACAGGAACAAGGCAAAUAAAGUAUACAGGAUUCUGAUUCUCCUACACAGGUGCACGUAAAGUUAGUUUAUUAAUGACUACAUUUUGAAGCCAGCCAUUUUGAUCCAAUAUUUAAAUAACAAGCUGUUUAAUAUUAAAGCAGAAGGUACUGCCACAAUGUGACAUUAAUACAGCUUUAUCCAUAAACCCUUCACACAAUUAUACAUUAAAUGCUAUUUUUAUUUAAGCAAGGCACCCCCUACUUCUUCUAAAAUAUGGGAUGUGCUACCCCACUGAAAAAGCAAAUGAGGAGACUUAAAUUUUUUCCUAUCUAGAGCUGGUUUAAAUUCAAGUGAAGCCAUUAAUGUCCUUACCAGUCGGGACUGUUCUGAUAUGUCAAUUCACAGUUUUGAGACUAACAAACCAAUACCCUUAAGGGUUACCCAAAACCACAAAAAAAGGGGGUGUCCAGAUAACUUUUAAGUUGAGACUAGAAUUCCCUCCUUAAGUACACAGGAACCAAUGUUAAUGCCUUUAGCACAAGGCUUGGAAAGGCAAAACAUUCCUAAAGACAUAAAACUGCCAAAUUGUUGUCAUUUACACUCACUACCCUGUGGGGUUUAUUUCUUGUUUUGACUUAUUUUUAACUCUUACCCCUAUCUAAGUAAUCAAAUAGACCUAAAAUUAAAACUACUCUGCCAAACCGUAAUGGUUCAAAGGUCUGAAACCUUUCCUUGCUUUGGUGAGUAUUUGGUUAAAAUAACUCAAUGUUUUAAUCCAUGAGAAGUUUUACAUCAGAGCUCUGAAUUCAUAGGUAAAAAACAAAACCUCAACCAGAUCAUUUUUAAAAUGGGAGAAAGAUUUUAAAGGACAGUACUGAAUAAAAACAUGUAGUCUUUACAAUGGGUAACAUGUCCUCUGUGAAAUCAAACUGUUUAAUCAUAUAAAAUAAAGACCAGAUUUGUAAAUCAGAUCCUAGACAGUUUAAACAAAAAUUUAAAUUUGUGGUUUUAUUUCAUAAUCCCAAACUGAAUCUUUCCUUUCUCUUUCUAAACAGUCCACUAUGGAAUUUUUCUUAUAAGUAAUUAAGCCCAAACCCCAAAAUCCUUUCUCUAGCAGCUGCUGCUAAAAAACUGGAGCUUUAUAUCCCAUGUCCAAGAAAGAUGUGCAAAUGAAAUGCUUCUUGCUUCAUCCUGAAAAUAAAACGAAAAAUGUUGUACAUUUACUCAAAAGAAAAAGUACUGCACAUGUUCUCAUACCAUUUAAAAUUACAAAUUCAACCACUUUUUCUUACUGAUUUAGUACAAGUUAUGUGACAGAUCAAUUAAGUUAAGGUGAAGAAAAUUCAACAGUUAGGCAUUAGUGUUUGCGGCCUGAUAUAAAGAUAGUAGAUUUUCAGAACUGAGCACACAAUAUAUUUUACAUAAGAUUUUAGCUAAUAUAAAUAUUUAACAUGACAAUAUUGUGAGACUUCAUAUCCAAAAAUAGCCUAUGGGGCU